UCCUCCCCCUUCCACAUCAGUUCCUCCACCACCAACACCUCCCCCUUCCACAUCAAUUCCUCCACCACCACCUGCUACAUUGUCUGUCCCUCCACCUCCUCCUCCUCCUCCUCCCCCUCCUCCUACGUCUAUUCCUGCUCCUCCGCCUCCACUACAAACUUCAGAUUCAGCUGAGCUCAGCCAAUAUUUGUCAGAUAUUAAUGACACAAUGGAUGAACUAAUGAACUACUAGCCAUAGCCACUCCACUAAUUUCAACUAUUAGAUUUCAAGAGAAGACAAUAAUUUAUUUUUUUUAUACCGGUGAACGUGUAUUUGUAACUUAUUUAUUGUAAAUUUUUUACUGCUAGUUUUUUCUUUUCAAAAUAAAAAAUAAACUCCAUUUUACACUUCUAGUUUUGUAUACCAAACAGAAUUAACAUAAUGCAUAGUCAUUAUUAUUAUUAUCAUUAUUAUUAUUAUUACCUAUACUACAUGUAUUAUUAUUAUUAUUUUUAUCUUGUGCUGUAUAUGUUACAUAGUUUUAUUGAUUAACUGGAAAAACA
Amphimedon queenslandica is the source of this 543-nucleotide long non-coding RNA. RefSeq lists it as uncharacterized. The transcript has 2 exons. The record is from RefSeq and is a predicted model, not a curated record. Lineage: Eukaryota; Metazoa; Porifera; Demospongiae; Haplosclerida; Niphatidae.